CCUGGGGUCGAUUUGCUCGACUAAAGGCGGUGCUCCAUCAUGGCUGCAGUCAAAUGACUGAAACAAGUAAAAGACAAAAAGAAUAACAUUUUGUAGGUGAUAUAUAUAUGAUAUAUAUUUAUUACAUGAAAUUAGUCAUUUAUAACAUGGACAGAAUCUUGGCAUAUAUAUGUAUAUAUAUGAAUUUUAUUUACAUUAGCACAUAUUUUUAAAACUGCAAGAGAUGUGACAUUACUAUUUGUUCAUUUUUUUCUUAUUAGUUGAAUAUUACUAAAACUAUAAUAUUCUGCUUUUUUUUUUGUGGUGUGUGUGUGUGUGGGGGGUCUUCUUUUUCUUUCUUUUAUCCUUUCAAAAAUUACUUUAAAGUGACUAAAAUUUUCACUUAUGAAUAUUUCAAUUUUAUUCAAUACAAGUUUAUUUUGAAAACAUCAUAUCACAACCUGAAAUUUUGUUCCUUUUGUGGAUAACGAAAUGGCAUAGAACCAAAUGUUAUAAAUUUUAUAUUUUUUCCCUCACCACCUUUUUUUUCUUUUUUUGUUGAUCACAAGCUCUCAGUUUUAUUAGAACAUACUGUUGUGAAGAAAAGAUAAAAAUCGGAUUGUGUGAUAUACAUUUUCAUACCAAAAUGAUACAGCCACAACAAGUAUUCAAAACUAAUUUGCAGAUGUCACAACACAUCAGGUUCAAUUGGCCCUGCAGAACAUUUUACAAUAAGUUAUUAUGGCAGAAUCGUUAACACGUCAGGUGAAAUGCUAAGCGGUAGUUCGUCUGU
Molecule: long non-coding RNA, 772 nt
Organism: Octopus sinensis (East Asian common octopus)
Lineage: Eukaryota; Metazoa; Mollusca; Cephalopoda; Octopoda; Octopodidae
Exons: 3
Source: RefSeq, a predicted model, not a curated record